UACAGAGGGUGCAAGCGUUAAUCGGAAUUACUGGGCGUAAAGCGUGCGUAGACGGUUACAUAAGUCGGAUGUGAAAGCCCCGGGCUCAACCUGGGAAUUGCAUUCGAGACUGAAUAGCUAGGGUACGGUAGAGGGAAGUGGAAUUUCCGGUGUAGCGGUGAAAUGCGUAGAUAUCGGAAGGAACAUCAGUGGCGAAAGCGACUUCCUGGACCAGUACCGACGUUCAGGCACGAAAGCGUGGGGAGCAAACAGG
This 253-nucleotide ribosomal RNA is filed under the name uncultured bacterium. RNAcentral describes it as "partial 16S ribosomal RNA". It matches the Rfam family "Bacterial small subunit ribosomal RNA", at positions 524 to 776 of the family's 1533-position model. The record is from RNAcentral.